RNAcentral lists this long non-coding RNA (4465 nucleotides) under Triticum aestivum (bread wheat). Its description in RNAcentral is "long non-coding RNA (TAES_LNC024127)". The record is from RNAcentral. Lineage: Eukaryota; Viridiplantae; Streptophyta; Magnoliopsida; Poales; Poaceae.
ACCUAUAUUAAGCUAUGGACGAAAUUUAUGAAAGGCCAUCUUGUAUAUUUCGUCCAUGUCCUUGGAUGUCAUCAUGGUGGCUCCAAAGUGGUGAAAACUCCACCAGAAACUCUGUUCUUGCUCCCCUUGCGCGCGCCAUCUUCAACAUGCUUGAUCAUGCUCCAAUGUUCAUCGUUCUUGUCCAUGCUUGGCCCUUCAUUUAUAAGCAAAACAAAUGUAUCCAAUUUAGGCAAAAUCAUAUCCUAUGAACAUUAGAACCAGUACCAAGAAACGAAAGUACUUGGUAAUUCAAUUGGCGUGUGCCCGCUCUAGUAAUUGGUACAGUAUAUGCAGUAGUAGGGGUUGUGGGUGUAACUUUGUUAGUGAUUUCCUCAUCGGGUUGUCAACAAACUCAUGAUUGAUGCCCUCAUCGGCAUCGCCGCGGCACCUCUAGAAGAGAACUUCGGUAUCAAUAAAAAGGAGACUAAAUGAAUCCAGCCGGCUUAGCAUGAUAAGCUUGGGGGGAUUUUGAGGCCCUAUUGUAUCCCUUAUUGUUAUUUUCCUAUUGAACUUUAUUUAGGAGUUUUUCAUUUAGCCUGAAUAAGUAAUGACAGUCAUACUUUCUUGAUAAGAGGGGUGAGUUGUAUCUGUUGAGUCAUGGAUGAUUUAAUGAGUGGUCGAUUAUGAUCUUUAUGAGUUUGCUUAGUAUGAUUUUGCAUCUCCGUGUGUUAGAUAUUUUUGUUUUUAGACGAUGAUUAUAAGUCUUCCACAUCGUUACUAUCAAUCAGGAAUGAGAAGUUGACAACUUGAUGUGAUGAAUUGACCUUCAUUUCAGUUUAUUUCAUGAUUACUUGGCAAAGUCUUUAAACUAAUAAGCCAGGUAUGACAAGAGGACAAUCUUUCUUUACUGUAAAAACAAAAUUUAAAGGUUAAAAUAUUUUUUGUAAUUCCUAAUAAUCAAACUUGGACAACCAAGCAUACCAUUCAUAUCACACCUCGAAGAGAGAAAAGGGAAAAAGAAAAAUUCAAGUGAUAUGAGGUAGGCUUGGUAACUCAAGAAAUAAAAGGGAAGAAGGAAAUAUAACUUGAGUAAAAGCAGUAAACCAUAAGAGCUUGUCCAACUGAAGGAAGGGAGCCAUUAUCACUUAGAGUUGAGUAACGUCUUCUUAAUGAUUAAUAGUAAGGUGUGGAAGCCUUCAUACUCAUCUAAUGAAAACCGAGAUAUUAUGGUGCACGAUAGAGCCAUUAUAUGAUGCAAAAUUUGAAUUUAUGAUGGACUCAUUCAUUAUCGGUUUAUCUGCAUCUCAUAACUAAGAUGACCUCUUUCUUACAAGCCGUGGCAUUUGCUCGGGGAUGAGCAAACCUUUAAGCUUGGGGGAGUUGAUAAGUCCAAAUUAUGUGAUUAUUUUGUUAGUAUUUUUCUGCCUACUCCGUAGGCUUCGUGGGAUUUUACUGCGUUCGCGCACUUCCUUUUGUUGUUUUCCUCGGAUAAAGCUUUUUGGACCAAACAUUAUUAUAUGGAAGAAAUCUCAGAAAAUGGCAGUGGAAUCACACAAUUAAAGUGAUAAUCACCUGCCAUAAGAGAAAGAAGCAAAAUGGGCAAGUAAGCAGUCGCCGCAGGAUGUGCAGAGCAAAAGAUGACGUUCCAUACGACCGCACCUGCCCAUAUGUGUGGUCGUAUGGAGUACCAUUACUGCCCCCGGAUCAACUAUAUUCACCCCGUGAAGACGGAUCGUGGAUCAAACGCCUAGAGACACCAGAAACUCGUCUAGAAGCAGGAACCCUAGCUGCCGGAGUGAUCCAGAGGGAGGAACCGGCAAGGAGGAGGUCGCCGCCUCCACCGUCUUCAUCAAGAAGGUUCAACAUCAUCCCCACUUUCAUCAUCACCAUCUAUCUUCUCCCUAUUGUAAUAUCAAGAACCCUAGAGGAAUAACUUGUGUAUUACAUGUGCGAUUCGUUCAUGUUGCCCAUCUUUGGUGGUAUGAUGUUUGUUGCCUUCAUGUGUGAGUAGUUCCCUUAGUUCUCGAGGACAUGGAUGAACCCUAUUGUGUAAUAGAUCGAUUGAUAUUAGGAUUUAACAUCCUCUUUGCAUGUUUAUGUUAAUGAUCUUCUUGACAUUGGGUGAAGUCGACCAUCCAAUGCAUGGCAACUUUGGACAGAAGGUUAUUAUUGUUGGCAAACCAUGUGGUUGCGGAGGUGGGUGACGUGACGGGCCCCAUCUCCCUUCGUAGCGGAUCACUGCAGCAAGGGGUAAAACAGAGACCACUUUGGCGACGUCCACGGGGACAUCUUUCCCCUUAAUUACCGUUUGAUAACUGGAGUGGGGAAGAACGGUGAUGGCGUAUGUGAUACACAGUUGUCAGUGUAUGCACGUAUCUGUACCGGCUCUGCCCACAAAGAGAAACAUGUAAAGUGGCUUAGAAAUCCGAAGUAGUAUUGUGUUUAGGCACCGCUAUAGAUGCACACUGAAGGGCAUUCCGGAUUCCCUGGGAACGCUUUAAUCCCACUUGUCUCGAGUCUCUCAUUUACUUUUGUUGAAUUAUUUAUAUUUAGACUCGCAACAUCAUUUCCAUCACUUUACCACUGCUUUGGAUCGCUAAAAAUUUGCAGGCAUUCUACUCGAACCAUUCAAGAGACAAAAGGUUGAUUCAUGUGCUCCGUGUGGGAUUGAUACUCUUACUUUGAAAAAGCUACAACUAAACGUUGUGCACUUGUAGGACAUCAGUGACCCAUACAAGCCCCACGUGGUGAACUCACAGAUCAGAUGAUGACACGAUCUACGUGUUAGGUCAGCUCUUCGUCUUUGGCGCCAUGACUUUUGUCGCCGACUCGACCAACCACAUCGCCAAGUCGAGAACCACACUCUAGACCAUAUUGUUCAAUUUGGCAAUCUAGAGGACAUCGUGGAUUCACACAGCGAGCUUGUCCUCCAAGGCCUGCAUGGUGCAAGGAUGAGGGAAAUAUUCAGAAAGCGGAUCAUAUAUGACUCGCACUAGCUAUUUUCUGAUGUCUCAAAGUAAAAAAACGGGCAGGGCCAAUGUUCGGAAGGGCGGUUGCGGAGAAGCAAUGGAAGUCUCUUUGGAUGAUUAAGGCUCCUAAUAAAAUAAAAUGAAGGUAGUCUUGUGAGGGUAUGCUCAGAAUUGUUUACCUGGUGGUUCUCACUUUUUGCACCGUCAUGUACCUACAUCCGAGCUUUCUUGUUUUUGUGCCUGGUUCGAAUCUGUUGUGCAAGCUCUACUUUUUUGCCCAUAUGCUAGAGAUAUUUGGGAUGUAUCCUUCGGUGCGUUGUUCAGUUGGCACGGAAUGAAGAAAUUUCAGAUACUAUCUUUGCCUCCAAUUGUCUUUCCUUGGUACAGAGGCUAAACUCUUCAGCUUUAGAUCGUUCUCCAAUUGGUGCGGUGGUUGCUGACAUUAACCUCAUCUCUAGUGGCUUUGCUUCUAUGAUGUUCAAGCAUGUUUGUCGGCAUUGUAAUGUAGCGGCUCAUUUAUUAGCUAAAUCGUGUAUGUACUCUAUAAGUCUUAGUUUUUUUUAUAUGUCCCAGAUUGUAUCUCAGGAACUCUGUGUAAUUUGAUUGAUUGAUUAAUACAACAUUCUCUAGAAGAAAACUCUAACAAGGAACACGCUAGCUUAGCGUAGAGGUGUUCCAAAGAUCCAUGAUCAAACAAACAAAAACACAAAAAUAAUUCCCAGAUUUUGAGAAGAGGUGGUGCCAAUCAAACGAGAGCAACCUCCGUCAUGAGUUUCAUGAGAGUAUCUACAACCAGGAUUACCUAAUUUGGUGCUAUAUACACCUGCAGGCGUGUCCGCUGGCAGUACCCGAAUAGUAGCCAAUUUUCCCUAUCCACAAUCACAAACAUCAAAUUCAGAUACCCUAUUUCAUACAAAACCAUGCAGUCUACGUAGACCAUAUAAAUAGCAUAAAACUUGAGCAAUUCGGACAUCAGACAUGCAAUUAGUUCAUCCAAAAGGGCCGAGAUAGUCCAAAUUGAACCUAAAAUGAACACCUGAGAGUUGCGGGCACGAGCACCCACCGUUGGCUGGGCGGUGCUAGCGCCAGAGGGGAAGGGGAGAACCUGUUUCGGAUCUAGAGCAGCGCGAAGAUAGAAGGGCGAGCACGGGACGGGCAGGUGUGGUUGGCAUUCCGCGGAGCUAGAAGGGUGGGCGCGGCUAGCAUUCUGCCGGAGGGAUGAGGAGGAGCUUGUUGUGGGCGCGAUGGAGCCCCGCCGAUGUCGACGCGCGACCGCUGGAUGGCGAUGCGGAGCGCGAGCGCCUCCUCGUCAGAUUCCUCCUUCACUAGACCGUCCAGUCCAUGGGGCGGCCUCUACCGGAGUCCUGACAGAAGUUGGCCAUGGCUGAUAGGAGGGGAAGGGUUUGGGAUGAAUCGGAGGAGUCAAGGGAAACGGAUAAGAUAAGUGUGGACUGAAAAAAUGGGUUUUACUAGGGUUUCAUCCGAUGGGGUGGGGCAUUUGUGGGGGCAUAAGUGGG